GAUGUGCUUGCACAUCGCUGACGAGUGGCGGACGGGUGAGUAAUGCUUGGGAACUUGCCUUUGCGAGGGGGAUACAGUUGGAAACGACUGCUAAUACCGCAUAAUGUCUACGGACCAAACGGGGCUUUUAGCUCCGGCGCAAAGAGAGGCCCAAGUGAGAUUAGCUAGUUGGUAAGGUAACGGCUUACCAAGGCGACGAUCUCUAGCUGUUCUGAGAGGAAGAUCAGCCACACUGGGACUGAGACACGGCCCAGACUCCUACGGGAGGCAGCAGUGGGGAAUAUUGCACAAUGGGGGAAACCCUGAUGCAGCCAUGCCGCGUGUGUGAAGAAGGCCUUCGGGUUGUAAAGCACUUUCAGUUGUGAGGAAAAGUUAGUAGUUAAUACCUGCUAGCCGUGACGUUAACAACAGAAGAAGCACCGGCUAACUCCGUGCCAGCAGCCGCGGUAAUACGGAGGGUGCGAGCGUUAAUCGGAAUUACUGGGCGUAAAGCGCACGCAGGCGGUUUGUUAAGCUAGAUGUGAAAGCCCCGGGCUCAACCUGGGAUGGUCAUUUAGAACUGGCAGACUAGAGUCUUGGAGAGGGGAGUGGAAUUCCAGGUGUAGCGGUGAAAUGCGUAGAUAUCUGGAGGAACAUCAGUGGCGAAGGCGACUCCCUGGCCAAAGACUGACGCUCAUGUGCGAAAGUGUGGGUAGCGAACAGGAUUAGAUACCCUGGUAGUCCACACCGUAAACGCUGUCUAC
This 743-nucleotide ribosomal RNA is filed under the name uncultured bacterium. RNAcentral's name for it is "bacterial SSU rRNA". It matches the Rfam family "Bacterial small subunit ribosomal RNA", at positions 73 to 816 of the family's 1533-position model. The record is from RNAcentral.